Macaca mulatta (Rhesus monkey) is the source of this 6463-nucleotide non-coding RNA. The record is from RefSeq and is a predicted model, not a curated record. NCBI's taxonomy places the organism in Eukaryota, Metazoa, Chordata, Mammalia, Primates, Cercopithecidae.
UUCAAAAAAUUAGCCGGGCAUGGUGGCGCAUGCCUGUAAUCCCAGCUACUCAGGAGGCUGAAGUAGCAGAAUUGCCUUCCUAUGAGGCAGAGGUUGUGGUGAGCCAAAAUCGUGCCAUUGCUCUCCAGCCUGGGCAACAAGAGCAAAACUCUGUCUCAAAAUAAAAAAAAAAUAAAAAUAACAUUUGAAGAUUAAAAACCACUAAAAUGGAGUUGAAAACUAGAAUAAAAAAUUCUGACCUACAAAAUAUUGAAUCUAAUAUAGAUGUAUCAAAGACAAUCUUAUAAAUAACUACAGUUUUCAACUGUGUGUACAUACAAAGAGCUGGCAUUUUGAAUCUUUGGCAUUCAAAGUACAGCAGUAAAAGAAAACUCAAUAAAAUGCUCUGAUGAGAAUGAGGCAUUUCAAUACAUUUAUUCUACAAUUGGAAAAUUUGAGCAUUUUAUUUCAGACAUUUUGAAUUCAAAAUAAAAAAUAUUUGACAUAGAACAUAUCAGAAAGUAAAAUAUACAAGGGGAAUGACACAGCAAGAUGGCAGAAUAGGAGGUUCUCUACCCACAUCUUCUACAGUUAUAAAAAAAUGUGGCGAGAAAAUGGCUUCACUGGGGGCUGAGAGUGCCCACAGAGUUGUUCCCACUGCUUCCUCUACCCCUAUAUUUCGCUUGGCUUUCUAUUCAUCUUUGCUCCAGGAUCAAAUAUUGAAGACUUCGUGCAUUCACCGAAGCGUCAGAAUAUAGUUUUGGAAAUGGAUGACUUCAGAAACAGAAAUGGCUCAGAUGAUCACUCCUACAAUGGAGGCAUCAUAGUGUCUGAUAACCAGAAGGAUUAGAUUUUCAGUUGCAUGUAAUACCAAGAAAUUGAAUUGUUUUCCUAUUCUUAUGGGAAUUGUUACCAAAGCCCUUAUUGAAAUUUUUAACUUCACGGAGCUUAUUCAAAUGAAGAGCACCUCAUUUUCUCGUGAUGACAUAGUGCUGGAACUUGGUUUUAUAGAUGGGUCUAUAUUUUUGUUGUUGAUCACAAACUGCAUUUCUCCUUAUAUCAGCAUAAGCAGUAUCAGUGAUUAUAAAAAAAAGUUGAAUCCCAGUUAUGGAUUUCAGCCUCUGGCCUUCAGGAUACUGGUGUGGACAGGCUCUGGUGGACAUUCCAUUAUACUCCUUGAUUCUCCUUUCAAUACAUUUAAUUUACUACUUCGUAUUUCUGGGAUUCCAGCUUCCAUGGGAACUCAUGUUUGUUUUGGCGGUAUAAUUCGUUGUGCGGCUUCUCUUAUAUUCCUCACGUAUGUGCUUUCAUUCAUCUUUCACAAGUGGUGAAAAAAUAAUGGCUUUUGGUCUUUUGGCUUUUUUAUUAUCUUAAUAUGUGUAUUCACAAUUCCAGUAUCAACUAAGUAUGAAAAACCCAACUUAAUUUUGUGCAUGAUUUUCAUACCUUCCUUCACUUUGCUGGGAUAUGUCAUGUUAUUGAUCCAGCUCAACUUUAUGUAUAUGAGAAACUUGGACAGUCUGGACAAUAGAAUAAAUGAAGUCAAUAAAACCAUUCUUUUAACAACCUUAAUACCAUACCUUCAGAGUGUUAUUUUCCUUUUUGACAUAAGGUGUCUGGACAUGAAGUAUGAAAUUGAAAUAAUGAAUAAAGACCCAGUUUUCAGAGUCUCUCCACGAUGUAGAGAAACUCAUCCCUAUCCAGAAGAGCCUGAAGAAGAAGAUGUUCAAGCUGAAAGAGUCCAAGCAGCAAAUGCACUCACUACUCCAAACUUGGAGGAGGAGCCAGUCAUAACUGCAAGCUGUUUACACAAGGAAUAUUAUGAGGCAAAGAAAAGUUGCUUUUCAACAAGAAAGAAGAAAAUAGCCAUCAGAAAUGUUUCCUUUUGUGUUAAAAAGGUGAAGUUUUGGGAUUAGUAGGACACAGUGGAUCUGGUAAAAGUACUUCCAUUAAAAUGACAACUGGGUUCACAAAGCCAACUGCAGAAGCGGUGGUGUUACAAGGCAACAGAGCAUCAGUAAAGCAACAGCGUGACAACAGCCUCAAGUUCUUGGGGUACUGCCCUCAGGGAGAACUCACUGUGGCCCAAGCUUACAAUGAAAGAGCACCUGGAGUUGUAUGCAGCUGUGAAAGGACUGGGCAAAGAAUAUGCUGCUCUUAGUAUUUCAUGAUUGGUGGAAGCUCUUAAGCUCCAGGAGCAACUUAAGGCUCCCGUGAAAACUCUAUCAGAGAGAUAAAAGAGAAAGCUAUGCCUUGUGCUGAGCAUCCUGGGGAACCCAUCAGUGGUGCUUCUAGAUGAGCUGUUCACCAGGAUGUACCCCGAGGGGCAGCAGCAAAUGUGGCAGAUACUUCAGGCUACCAUUAAAAACAAGGAGAGGGGCGCCCUCUUGACCACCCAUUACAUGUCAGAGGCUAAGGCUGUGUGUGGCCAUAAUGGUGUCAGGAACGCUAGGUUGUAUUGGUUCCAUUCAACAUCUGAAAAACAAGUUUGGUAAAGAUUUUUACUAGAAAUAAAAAAAUGAAAGAACCUACUCAGGUGGAAGCUCUCCACACAGAGAUUUUGAAGCUUUUCCCACAGGCUGCUCAGCAGGAAAGACGUUCCUCUUUAAUGGCGUAUAAGUUACCUGUGGAGGAUGUCCACCCUCUGUCUCAGGCCUUUUUCAAAGUAGAGGCAGUGAAACAGACCUUCAAUGUGGAGGAAUACAGCCUCUCUCAGGGCACCUUGGAGCAGGUAUUCUUAGAACUCCGUACAGAGCAGGCGCUGGGAAAUGUUGAUGAUAGAAGUACAGCAGUUUGAUGGAAACUUCUCCCACAGGAAGCCUCUUAAAACGAAGAACCUCCUAACAUUCAAUUUUAAGUCCUACUACAUUGUUUCCAUAAUUCUACAAGAAUGUUUCCUUUUACUUCAGUUAACAACAACAACAAAAAAAAUUCAGUAGUUUAAACAUUCAAUAAUGAUUAAAGUUUUCAUUUUUAAAAAUUUUAGGAUGAAGGAAACAAGGAAAUACAGGGAAAAGUAGUAGACAAAAUUAACAAAAUCAGACAUGUUAUUCAUCCCCAACAUGGGUCUAUUUUGUGCUUAAAAAUAAUUUUAAAAAUCAUAUAAUAUUAGGUUGGUUUUUGGUUAUUAUCAAUAGUUAACACUGAGCACAUUUUACAAAUAAAAAAAUUUUUUAGCCUAAAUUUCAAAUGUAUCAGCUAUUUUUAAACAUUACUCAGAUUAUAAUUUAAUGUGAUAUAAUUUAAUGUGAUUAUAAUGUAAUGUGACACAUUAUAAUUUAAUGUGACUAUAAGAAGAUCUGAUGAAAUGGCACAACGUAACAUUUAAUUAUAAUGACAUAUUCUGAUUAUAAAAUAAAUACAUGUGAAUAUUAGUACAUAUUGAAAUUAUAUGGAAGAAGAUAACCAUAAUCUGUAAGAAAGUACCACAGUUAAUACUUUAUUUAGCCAACUUAUAUUCAAUGUAUUUUUUAUGGGUCCUUUUUCAAAGGUAGCAUCAGUAGGCACAGUCAUUUUCUACAUCUUUUCACCUCACAAUUCAUGAACAUUUCCCAGGUCAUUAUAACACUUUUGUGUUAUAUAAUUGCUGCAUUAAUGUUAUAGCUGUAUUGAUGUAAUACCAGAGUUGUUAUAUUUGGGUUAUAUGCAAAUGUAUUUCUUAGAAAUAAAACUUUGAUAGACUUAAAAAAAUGUGGCAAGCCAGGUAUGGUGGCUCACGCCUGUGAUCACAGCACUUUGGGAGGCUGAGGCGGGUGGAACACCUGAGGUCAGGAGUUCGAGACCAGCUUGGCCAAUAUGGUGAAACUCCAUCAACACUAAAAAUACAAAAAUUGGCUGGGCAUGGUGGUGGGCACCUGUAAUCCCAGUUACUCGAGAGGCUGAGGCAGGGGAAUUGCUUGAGCCUGGGAGGCGGAGGUUGCAAUGAGCUAAGAUGGCGCCACUGCACGCCAGCCUGGGUGACAAGAGUGAGAUUCCAUCUCAAAAAAAAGAGCAGUUAUGCCCUGGCAAAAGAAACUUUAUGGGAACUUUGGAAUCCAUGUCAAAGGGUGUAAACCCAAGACUGAGGAGGGCUGUAUUGAGAGGGCAUGACCUUGCUUGAGUGGCAUGCUUGCCCAUCACAGUCCCAGCUACAAAAUAAAAUAUGACUAAUUCUCACUGUAAAUACAGCUGUAGACCAUUUGGUUUUGUUUAUGCCACUAGCACCAUCUGCCAAGACACCAAGUGUCCUGUGUCUCAGGUGAAAGGACUUUAGAUGUUGAUCCUCUCUGUGAUCUCUGAAUUAGCCCCUUGCACACAUCUAUCAUGGUGUGGAAGAAAUCUUGCACAUGCAGGAACCCACAGACAGAAACAUCCAUCUGUGCCCCUGGAUGUAGGCUUGCCAACAUUUAUUUAAUGGUGGAUCUUGAUGUGGCACUAUAAUCUGGCUCCAAGUCCAUAAAACCAAAGUCCAGAAACAGUUUUUCCUAACCUGGGACCUGCCAAAAAGCACACUAUAUGUGCCCCUCUAGGCAUGCUGGCUGACUUUAUUCCCACUGUGAAUCUUGAAGCAGUCCUAAAACUUACCUCCAGUCCCUGUCAGCUAAAGUCUGGUAAGAGUCCUGUUCACCCAGGAACCUAGAGGGAGAAAUGCCAUGAACCCGGAAACAAACCUGAAGACUUUGGUCUCAGCUGUGUAUGCCGAAGCAGCCCUAUGAAUCAGUUCCACACCCUCUCAGCUGUGAUCAAGGGUCAGUACUGCUCAUCUAGGAACCUGUCCAAUGACGGGGUUAGAGGAUUUCCAAAAACCCAGCAAGAGCCACACAGCAGAAGCCACGCCUGCUCACAUGGAUUGUAUCAGCUCUGUCAUCUGCAUAUAUAACUGGAGACUUUUUUUCCCCAACACCAGUCUUAUUGAUCAAGAUCCUGAAGAAAGUUCAGUCUUCCCAGAAAAUAGAAUCCACAACGGUCUGAUGCCCUAAUAACAGGUCUACCAAGCAUGAACUUCACUGUGAUCCAGAUCCAAUGCACCUUACUGCAAUCUCAUCAGCACAGAGAUCCAAUAGGAGAAAAUAUUUACCUCCCCAAACUAAUCUAUAAUGACUGAAAGAGGUAUUUACUCCUUCAGAUACAGGGACAUCAAAACAAGGUAUCACAGAUCAUGAAGGAUCAGGCAAACAUAACAUCACCAAAGGAAAUUAAAAAUGCUCCAGUAACCACUUACAAUAAAACACAGAUCUAAAAAAAAAUUCAAAUAAUUAUCUUAAAGAAUCUCAAUGAGAUGCAAAAAGUCACACAUUACUAAAUUUUUUUACAACAAUGUAUGAACAAAAUCACAAUUAUAAUAAAGAAAGAGAACCUAUUAAAAGAGAACCAAAUAGAUAUGCUGGAGCUGAAGUACACAAUAGGAGAUCUAAAAUAUUAAAGAGAAAGCUUUAACAGGAGACUUCGUUACACAGGGGGGUAAAAAAAAAAAAAAAGCAAACAUAAAAGUAAGUCAUUUGAAAGUUUCUAAUUAGAAUUUUAAAAAAGAAUGUAAGAAUAAAGCAUUUGGGCCCCAUACUGCAUAAUAAACAGUAAGAAUGUACAUAUUUUAUGAGGUUCAUGAGAGAGAAAAUUUUUUUUAAAUUGUUUAAAGAUAUAAUGUCUUAAAUUUUUCCCAAUCUUGGAAGAAAUAUGGAUAUUAAAUUAAAAAGCUCAAAAUGUCUAUAGCAAGAAGAAUCUAACAAAAAUUGUCCAUAACACAUUAUAAUUAAGACAAAAUUCAAAGACAAGGAGAGAUUCUUAAAAGAAGCAAGAGAAAGAGAUUCUUCACAUACAAGGGAACUCCUAUAAGGUUAUCAGCAGACUGCCCAACAAAAACCAUGCAAGCCACAUGGAAGUGAAACCAUAUAUUUGAAGUGCAAAUGAAGAGAGAAAAAGAAAAAACCUUGACAAUUAAGAAGACUAUCCCUGACAAAGCUGUUCUUUAGAAAUGAUGUAUCAAUCAAAAUCUCAGAUUUAAAAAAAGUUGAGGAAAUUUUUCAUCACUAGACCUGACUUACAAAAAAUGUUAAUGAGAAUUUUUCAAGUUGUAAUGGAAUCCUAACUUACAACAAAAAUAUAACUAUUAUUGAAAAUCAUAUACACCUGGUCAAAUUUAGAAGGCUUAUAAAACUGUAAUUAUGGCCAGAAAUCACUUUUAAUGCUGGUGUAAAAGCUACAAGAAAAAAAUUAUUAAAUAUAGCUUCAAUAAAUUGUUAAUGGGUAUACGAUAUAAAAAGAUGUAGAGUGUGACAUAAAUACUGUGUUGAAGGGAGUAAGACUGUUUAAUUUUUCAGUAUAUAGAAGCUAACUUUUGCUUGAGGCCAGGAGUUCAAAACCAGUCUGGUCAAUAUGGCAGGACCCUGUCUCUUAAAUAAGUACAUAACUAAAAUUAAAGGUCUCAGAAAGCUGUUUAUUCUUUUUAAACAAGCAGCAGCUGAGCCUGAUGGCUCAUGCCUGUAAUCCUAGCAUUUAGGGAGGCCAA